UCUGACAAUCAUGAUUUUAAAAUGAAAGUUUUGAUUUCAUUUCGGAAAUCAUGGAGGAUGAUGACCCACCCGUCAUGGAAGCUAAUUUCUUACUUUUCUUUUGCUUUUUCUCCCUUUUUCUUAAACAGUCAACACCAAAUGCCUUUUAUUUGUUACAUAAUUAAAAAUACCUAAUGUUGGCGGUAAAAUGAAAAUAAAAAAAAACUAAAAAAGUGAAAUAAAACUAAAUAAAAAUGGUAAGAAUAUUUGUGAUCAACUAAUUAUACCCAA
This 270-nucleotide long non-coding RNA is filed under the name Lathyrus oleraceus (garden pea). Its description in RNAcentral is "Pisum sativum (pea) long non-coding RNA (PSAT_LNC031917)". The record is from RNAcentral. Lineage: Eukaryota; Viridiplantae; Streptophyta; Magnoliopsida; Fabales; Fabaceae.